RNAcentral lists this transfer RNA (71 nucleotides) under Phrynosoma platyrhinos (Desert horned lizard). Its description in RNAcentral is "tRNA-OTHER". Lineage: Eukaryota; Metazoa; Chordata; Lepidosauria; Squamata; Phrynosomatidae. The record is from RNAcentral.
GCCAGCAUGGUGUAGUGGUUUGAAUGUUAGACUACGACUCAGGAGACCAGAGUUCGAUUCCCAGGUUGGCC